This 693-nucleotide ribosomal RNA is filed under the name uncultured Pseudomonadaceae bacterium. RNAcentral's name for it is "SSU rRNA". It matches the Rfam family "Bacterial small subunit ribosomal RNA", at positions 191 to 865 of the family's 1533-position model. The record is from RNAcentral. Lineage: Bacteria; Pseudomonadati; Pseudomonadota; Gammaproteobacteria; Pseudomonadales; Pseudomonadaceae.
GUCCUGAGGGAGAAAGUGGGGGAUCUUCGGACCUCACGCUAUCAGAUGAGCCUAGGUCGGAUUAGCUAGUUGGUGGGGUAAAGGCCUACCAAGGCGACGAUCCGUAACUGGUCUGAGAGGAUGAUCAGUCACACUGGAACUGAGACACGGUCCAGACUCCUACGGGAGGCAGCAGUGGGGAAUAUUGGACAAUGGGCGAAAGCCUGAUCCAGCCAUGCCGCGUGUGUGAAGAAGGUCUUCGGAUUGUAAAGCACAUUAAGUUGGGAGGAAGGGCAGUAAGUUAAUACCUUGCUGUUUUGACGUUACCAACAGAAUAAGCACCGGCUAACUUCGUGCCAGCAGCCGCGGUAAUACGAAGGGUGCAAGCGUUAAUCGGAAUUACUGGGCGUAAAGCGCGCGUAGGUGGUUCAGCAAGUUGGAUGUGAAAUCCCCGGGCUCAACCUGGGAACUGCAUCCAAAACUACUGAGCUAGAGUGCGGUAGAGGGUGGUGGAAUUUCCUGUGUAGCGGUGAAAUGCGUAGAUAUAGGAAGGAACACCAGUGGCGAAGGCGACCACCUGGACUGAUACUGACACUGAGGUGCGAAAGCGUGGGGAGCAAACAGGAUUAGAUANCCUGGUAGUCCACGCCGUAAACGAUGUCGACUAGCCGUUGGGAUCCUUGAGAUCUUAGUGGCGCAGCUAACGCGAUAAGU